AGAGUUUGAUCCUGGCUCAGAAUCAACGCUGGCGGCGCGCCUAACACAUGCAAGUCGAACGAGAAAGUGGAGCAAUCCAUGAGUAAAGUGGCGUACGGGUGAGUAACACGUGGAUUAUCUGCCCUUUUGUGGGGAAUACCGCUGGGAAACCGGCGACAAUACCGCAUAAGCUCGAGAGAGGAAGGCAGCAAUGCGCAGAAGGAGGAGUCCGCGGUCGAUUAGUUAGUUGGCAGGGUAAAGGCCUACCAAGACUGUGAUCGAUAGCCGGCCUGAGAGGGCACACGGCCACACUGGCACUGAAACACGGGCCAGACUCCUACGGGAGGCAGCAGUGGGGAAUCUUGCACAAUGGGGGAAACCCUGAUGCAGCGACGCCGCGUGAGCGAUGAAGCCCCUCGGGGUGUAAAGCUCUUUCGGCAGGGAAGA
This 426-nucleotide ribosomal RNA is filed under the name uncultured bacterium. Its description in RNAcentral is "bacterial SSU rRNA". It matches the Rfam family "Bacterial small subunit ribosomal RNA", at positions 8 to 448 of the family's 1533-position model. The record is from RNAcentral.